UGGCAAUGAUGAUAAAAAGGCCGGUCUUACGGCUACCAUUUACUUCUUUGGUAGUAGAUUGAAACAUAAAAUAGCAUAUAUACACAAACAGGUUCAUGUAUGUCUC
This is a small nucleolar RNA of Medicago truncatula (barrel medic), 106 nucleotides long. It matches the Rfam family "Small nucleolar RNA snoR113". The record is from Rfam. Lineage: Eukaryota; Viridiplantae; Streptophyta; Magnoliopsida; Fabales; Fabaceae.